GUGCAGCAGGCGAGAAUACUUUACAAUGUGCGGAAGCACGGUAAGGGAACUCUGAGUGCCUCCUAAGGAGGCUGUUCAGGUGUCUAAAAAGCACCUGGAGUAAGGGCUGGGUAAGACCGGUGCCAGCCGCCGCGGUAACACCGGCAGCCCAGGUGGUAGCCACUUUUAUUGGGUCUAAAGCGUCCGUAGCCGGUUGAGUAAGUUCCUUGGGAAAUUUGGCUGCUCAACAGUCAAGCUUCCAGGGAAUACUGCUCGACUUGGGACUGGGAGAGGUCAGAGGUACUCCAGGGGUAGGGGUGAAAUCCAUUAAUCCCUGGGGGACCACCGGUAGCGAAGGCGUCUGACCAGACCAGGUCCGACGGUGAGGGACGAAGGCUAAGGUCGCGAACCGGAUUAGAUACUUGGGUAGU
This 410-nucleotide ribosomal RNA is filed under the name uncultured microorganism. RNAcentral describes it as "bacterial SSU rRNA". It matches the Rfam family "Archaeal small subunit ribosomal RNA", at positions 330 to 745 of the family's 1478-position model. The record is from RNAcentral.